Molecule: small RNA, 471 nt
Filed under: Malus domestica (apple)
Lineage: Eukaryota; Viridiplantae; Streptophyta; Magnoliopsida; Rosales; Rosaceae
Description: sRNA MD14G0116300
Source: RNAcentral
CACACAAGCCAUUCGGCAAAUAUUUAAAGAAGAGGGAAUUCAGACAACUUCUUCUGAGUCUUUUGCAUUCCUAGCACUAGAACACUUGGUCUACGCUGACCUACCCUUAUACUCCAACUCAGAGCUUCAACAUGCGUACUUUGACACAAAGUAUGUGAUACUAAGUGUUACAACCAACAUGGUUCACAUAUCAAAAGCAUGGAUCCCUUCAUGCAUAGCAAAACAUUCAUAAGCAUCACUCAUAUCAAUCAACAUAAACAUCAUACAUUCCAACAUAUUCAUACAUAAACAUCAUACAUUCUAACACAUCCAUACAUAAGCCAACUGUGCUUCGAAAUGGUUCAACAUACUUUGUGUCUUCGACACUUGCUACAAUGUGCCUCGACACCUUGCCCUUAUUCUCACCAACCAGGUGAAGAAGGAACUCAUCUUCGUGCCACCAACCAGGUGAUGAAAUGUGAUGAAAGGUGA